AAUUUCAAUUAUAAAAAAAGUUCACCAUGCAUUCUUUAUGCUCAAGUUAAAUCACUCUUAUGAUAAGACAAAAGCUAGUUUGAUAUAUCCUCAAAUAGAAAUAUUGUUUACUUGUACUCAAAGUUUUGUCAUCAUCAAAAAAAGAUAGAUUGUUGACCCAUGAAUUAAUUUUGAUGAAUAUAAAAUAUUUAAGUAUUUAUUUUGAUACUAAUGUAUUGUUGAAGUUCAUGUUAAGAAUGUUUCAGAAAACUAAAGUCACUCUUAGGAAGUAUUUCAUGAA
RNAcentral lists this long non-coding RNA (280 nucleotides) under Elaeis guineensis (African oil palm). RNAcentral describes it as "long non-coding RNA (EGUI_LNC059628)". Lineage: Eukaryota; Viridiplantae; Streptophyta; Magnoliopsida; Arecales; Arecaceae. The record is from RNAcentral.